This 605-nucleotide ribosomal RNA is filed under the name Pterocella scutella. RNAcentral describes it as "partial large subunit ribosomal RNA". It matches the Rfam family "Eukaryotic large subunit ribosomal RNA", at positions 23 to 513 of the family's 3401-position model. The record is from RNAcentral. Lineage: Eukaryota; Metazoa; Bryozoa; Gymnolaemata; Cheilostomatida; Catenicellidae.
ACCCGCCGAACUUAAGCAUAUCAGUAAGCGGAGGAAAAGAAACUAACUAGGAUUCCCCGAGUAACGGCGAGCGAAAGGGGAGAAGCCCAGCGCCGAAGCCCGCGGCCCCCGGUCGCAGUGCAAUGUGGCGUUACGGUGGCGGCUCGCCGCGACUUCUCUGGCGCGCGUACCUCUGAACGGGUCUGCCCGCAGCGGGUGUCAGGCCUCUACUUUGCCGAGAGUCGUCGCGGCCCGCAGUCACCGCGGAGUCGGGUUGCUUGAUAGUGCAGCCCAAAGCGGGUGGUAAGCUCCAUCUAAGGCUAAAUACCUAGUGCGAGACCGAUAGCAAACAAGUACCGUGAGGGAAAGUUGCAAAGAACUUUGAAAAGAGAGUUCAAGAGUACGUGAAACCGUUCAGAGGCAAACGGACGGAACCGGGCGAGUUCGCCGUCCGCCAUUCAGCCGCCGCGCUCGCGCGGCGGUGCACUUGGCGGCGGCGGAGCGCGACGACCGUCUGCCCGGCUGUCAGAAGGCCGGCGGCAAGGUGGCUGCGCGCUCGCGCGCAGUGUUACAGGCCGCCGCGCGUAACGACCGGCCGGGCGGGCGAGGAGCGCCUGCGGUGCGCU